RNAcentral lists this ribosomal RNA (492 nucleotides) under uncultured bacterium. RNAcentral describes it as "partial 16S ribosomal RNA". It matches the Rfam family "Bacterial small subunit ribosomal RNA", at positions 29 to 507 of the family's 1533-position model. The record is from RNAcentral.
AGUGAACGCUGGCGGUAGGCCUAACACAUGCAAGUCGAACGGCAGCACAGUAAGAGCUUGCUCUUACGGGUGGCGAGUGGCGGACGGGUGAGGAAUACAUCGGAAUCUACUUUUUCGUGGGGGAUAACGUAGGGAAACUUACGCUAAUACCGCAUACGACCUACGGGUGAAAGCAGGGGAUCUUCGGACCUUGCGCGAUUGAAUGAGCCGAUGUCGGAUUAGCUAGUUGGCGGGGUAAAGGCCCACCAAGGCGACGAUCCGUAGCUGGUCUGAGAGGAUGAUCAGCCACACUGGAACUGAGACACGGUCCAGACUCCUACGGGAGGCAGCAGUGGGGAAUAUUGGACAAUGGGCGCAAGCCUGAUCCAGCCAUACCGCGUGAGUGAAGAAGGCCUUCGGGUUGUAAAGCCCUUUUGUUGGGAAAGAAAAGCAGCAGGUUAAUACCCGGCUGUUCUGACGGUACCCAAAGAAUAAGCACCGGCUAACUUCGUG